CGUAGGUGUGAGCGUUGUCCGGAUUAUGGCGUAGAGCUUGUAGGCGGUUGUCGCGUCUGCUGUGAAGACCGGGCGUUAACUCCGGUUCUGCAGUGGUACGGCGAGGCUAGAGUAUGGUAGGGAGGACUGGAAUUCCUGGUGUAGCGGUGAAUGCGCAGAUAUCAGGAGGAACACCGAUGGCGAAGGCAGGUCUCUGGGCCAUUACUGACGCUGAGAAGCGAAAGCAUGGGAGCAAACAGGAUU
This 243-nucleotide ribosomal RNA is filed under the name uncultured bacterium. Its description in RNAcentral is "partial 16S ribosomal RNA". It matches the Rfam family "Bacterial small subunit ribosomal RNA", at positions 526 to 779 of the family's 1533-position model. The record is from RNAcentral.